AUGAUAUUGACAAAGAUCUUUAAUUUUGAAGGUUUGAUAUUUGUCGGCAUUUCAAUAAGACCAAACACUUCUUCUAUUGCUAUCGGAUCACCUAGAAUUAACUCUGGCGCAAUAUGCAGAUCUCAAGUCCACUAUUCAGUCUGCAUCCUACCCAUCUCAAUGAUCUUCUCCAAUGAAUUCCUUGACAUGCUGAAAAGAGUAGGGAAACAUUUUGAGAGGAGAGUCCCCUAUCCAUAUGUUGACCUAGAACAAAGUUCUCCUUCUCGCAUCUAA
Non-coding RNA from Vicia faba (fava bean), 273 nucleotides. The record is from the annotation of a GenBank genome assembly. NCBI's taxonomy places the organism in Eukaryota, Viridiplantae, Streptophyta, Magnoliopsida, Fabales, Fabaceae.